This 494-nucleotide ribosomal RNA is filed under the name uncultured bacterium. RNAcentral's name for it is "partial 16S ribosomal RNA". It matches the Rfam family "Bacterial small subunit ribosomal RNA", at positions 28 to 507 of the family's 1533-position model. The record is from RNAcentral.
GACGAACGCUGGCGGCGCGCUUAACACAUGCAAGUCGAACGGAAAGGCCUGCUUUCCCUUGUGGAUUGCGGGUACUCGAGUGGCGAACGGGUGAGUAACACGUGAGUGAUCUGCCCCCAACUUGGGUAUAAGCCUGGGAAACUGGGUCUAAUUCCCGAUAGGACUGCAGGGUGGUGCCUGUGGUGGAAAACGAUUUUCUAGUGGUUGGGGAUGAGCUCGCGGCCUAUCAGCUUGUUGGUGGGGUAAUGGCCUACCAAGGCGGCGACGGGUAGCCGGCCUGAGAGGGUGGACGGCCACAUUGGGACUGGGAUACGGCCCAGACUCCUACGGGAGGCGGCAGUGGGGAAUAUUGCACAAUGGGCGGAAGCCUGAAGCAGCGACGCCGCGUGGGGGAUGACGGCCUUCGGGUUGUAAACUCCUUUCGACCGAGAGGAAGCCACCUGGUUGGAAGGGUGGUGACGGUAGUGGUAGAAGAAGCACCGGCUAACUACGUG